GACGAACGCUGGCGGCGUGCCUAAUACAUGCAAGUAGAACGCUGAAGAGAGGAGCUUGCUCUUCUUGGAUGAGUUGCGAACGGGUGAGUAACGCGUAGGUAACCUGCCUUGUAGCGGGGGAUAACUAUUGGAAACGAUAGCUAAUACCGCAUAACAAUGGAUGACACAUGUCAUUUAUUUGAAAGGGGCAAUUGCUCCACUACAAGAUGGACCUGCGUUGUAUUAGCUAGUAGGUGAGGUAAUGGCUCACCUAGGCGACGAUACAUAGCCGACCUGAGAGGGUGAUCGGCCACACUGGGACUGAGACACGGCCCAGACUCCUACGGGAGGCAGCAGUAGGGAAUCUUCGGCAAUGGGGGCAACCCUGACCGAGCAACGCCGCGUGAGUGAAGAAGGUUUUCGGAUCGUAAAGCUCUGUUGUAAGUCAAGAACGGGUGUGAGAGUGGAAAGUUCACACUGUGACGGUAACUUACCAGAAAGGGACGGCUAACUACGUG
Molecule: ribosomal RNA, 497 nt
Filed under: uncultured bacterium
Lineage: Bacteria
Description: partial 16S ribosomal RNA
Rfam family: Bacterial small subunit ribosomal RNA
Source: RNAcentral